CAGUCGCCGCGGUAAUACGUAGGUGGCGAGCGUUGUCCGGAAUCAUUGGGCGUAAAGGGAGCGCAGGCGGGCAUGUAAGUCUUUCUUAAAAGUUCGGGGCUCAACCCCGUGAUGGGAAAGAAACUAUAUGUCUUGAGUACAGGAGAGGAAAGCGGAAUUCCCAGUGUAGCGGUGAAAUGCGUAGAUAUUGGGAGGAACACCAGUGGCGAAGGCGGCUUUCUGGACUGCAACUGGCGCUGAGGCUCGAAAGCCAGGGGAGCGAACGGGAUUAGAUACCCGCGUAGUCCCUGUCUCUUAUACA
This 301-nucleotide ribosomal RNA is filed under the name uncultured bacterium. Its description in RNAcentral is "partial 16S ribosomal RNA". It matches the Rfam family "Bacterial small subunit ribosomal RNA", at positions 509 to 809 of the family's 1533-position model. The record is from RNAcentral.